GAACGCUGGCGGUAGGCCUAACACAUGCAAGUCGAACGGCAGCACAGUAAGAGCUUGCUCUUACGGGUGGCGAGUGGCGGACGGGUGAGGAAUACAUCGGAAUCUACUUUUUCGUGGGGGAUAACGUAGGGAAACUUACGCUAAUACCGCAUACGACCUACGGGUGAAAGCAGGGGAUCUUCGGACCCUGCGCGAUUGAAUGAGCCGAUGUCGGAUUAGCUAGUUGGCGGGGUAAAGGCCCACCAAGGCGACGAUCCGUAGCUGGUCUGAGAGGAUGAUCAGCCACACUGGAACUGAGACACGGUCCAGACUCCUACGGGAGGCAGCAGUGGGGAAUAUUGGACAAUGGGCGCAAGCCUGAUCCAGCCAUACCGCGUGGGUGAAGAAGGCCUUCGGGUUGUAAAGCCCUUUUGUUGGGAAAGAAAAGCAGCAGGUUAAUACCCCGCUGUUCUGACGGUACCCAAAGAAUAAGCACCGGCUAACUUCGUG
Molecule: ribosomal RNA, 489 nt
Filed under: uncultured bacterium
Lineage: Bacteria
Description: partial 16S ribosomal RNA
Rfam family: Bacterial small subunit ribosomal RNA
Source: RNAcentral